Pezoporus flaviventris is the source of this 370-nucleotide long non-coding RNA. RefSeq lists it as uncharacterized. NCBI's taxonomy places the organism in Eukaryota, Metazoa, Chordata, Aves, Psittaciformes, Psittacidae. The record is from RefSeq and is a predicted model, not a curated record. The transcript is spliced from 3 exons.
CACCUUCCUUUGGAGUCUUAACUCUCAGUCCAGCAGACAUAAGUUUUAUCUAUUCAAGGUGGUGAGGUAUUGUAUGCACCGACAUUCACCCCCCCCUUGCUUCCCCCUCCCAUGUAAUGAAGAGCUGAUUCAGCGAAUAGAAUGAGAGAGCACUCAGGAUGAGAUGGCUGCUGCUGAUGUGUCUCUAGGUCAUUACCUCUCUUCCAACUGCAAAUGCUGCAUGAUACUAAGCUUACAGGACACUAGAAGCAAACCAUACCCCAGCAUGGAAAUCUGCUAGAAGACCUGGGAGGAAGCUCAAGUUUUCACAGUGGAAUACAACUAUGAAUCCCAAGAAAACAUGUUGCAGAGCUACCAGCAAUUCAACUCU